Molecule: ribosomal RNA, 2147 nt
Filed under: Staphylococcus aureus
Lineage: Bacteria; Bacillati; Bacillota; Bacilli; Caryophanales; Staphylococcaceae
Description: partial 23S ribosomal RNA
Rfam family: Bacterial large subunit ribosomal RNA
Source: RNAcentral
CGAACCGACUUACGUUGAAAAGUGAGCGGAUGAACUGAGGGUAGCGGAGAAAUUCCAAUCGAACCUGGAGAUAGCUGGUUCUCUCCGAAAUAGCUUUAGGGCUAGCCUCAAGUGAUGAUUAUUGGAGGUAGAGCACUGUUUGGACGAGGGGCCCCUCUCGGGUUACCGAAUUCAGACAAACUCCGAAUGCCAAUUAAUUUAACUUGGGAGUCAGAACAUGGGUGAUAAGGUCCGUGUUCGAAAGGGAAACAGCCCAGACCACCAGCUAAGGUCCCAAAAUAUAUGUUAAGUGGAAAAGGAUGUGGCGUUGCCCAGACAACUAGGAUGUUGGCUUAGAAGCAGCCAUCAUUUAAAGAGUGCGUAAUAGCUCACUAGUCGAGUGACACUGCGCCGAAAAUGUACCGGGGCUAAACAUAUUACCGAAGCUGUGGAUUGUCCUUUGGACAAUGGUAGGAGAGCGUUCUAAGGGCGUUGAAGCAUGAUCGUAAGGACAUGUGGAGCGCUUAGAAGUGAGAAUGCCGGUGUGAGUAGCGAAAGACGGGUGAGAAUCCCGUCCACCGAUUGACUAAGGUUUCCAGAGGAAGGCUCGUCCGCUCUGGGUUAGUCGGGUCCUAAGCUGAGGCCGACAGGCGUAGGCGAUGGAUAACAGGUUGAUAUUCCUGUACCACCUAUAAUCGUUUUAAUCGAUGGGGGGACGCAGUAGGAUAGGCGAAGCGUGCGAUUGGAUUGCACGUCUAAGCAGUAAGGCUGAGUAUUAGGCAAAUCCGGUACUCGUUAAGGCUGAGCUGUGAUGGGGAGAAGACAUUGUGUCUUCGAGUCGUUGAUUUCACACUGCCGAGAAAAGCCUCUAGAUAGAAAAUAGGUGCCCGUACCGCAAACCGACACAGGUAGUCAAGAUGAGAAUUCUAAGGUGAGCGAGCGAACUCUCGUUAAGGAACUCGGCAAAAUGACCCCGUAACUUCGGGAGAAGGGGUGCUCUUUAGGGUUAACGCCCAGAAGAGCCGCAGUGAAUAGGCCCAAGCGACUGUUUAUCAAAAACACAGGUCUCUGCUAAACCGUAAGGUGAUGUAUAGGGGCUGACGCCUGCCCGGUGCUGGAAGGUUAAGAGGAGUGGUUAGCUUCUGCGAAGCUACGAAUCGAAGCCCCAGUAAACGGCGGCCGUAACUAUAACGGUCCUAAGGUAGCGAAAUUCCUUGUCGGGUAAGUUCCGACCCGCACGAAAGGCGUAACGAUUUGGGCACUGUCUCAACGAGAGACUCGGUGAAAUCAUAGUACCUGUGAAGAUGCAGGUUACCCGCGACAGGACGGAAAGACCCCGUGGAGCUUUACUGUAGCCUGAUAUUGAAAUUCGGCACAGCUUGUACAGGAUAGGUAGGAGCCUUUGAAACGUGAGCGCUAGCUUACGUGGAGGCGCUGGUGGGAUACUACCCUAGCUGUGUUGGCUUUCUAACCCGCACCACUUAUCGUGGUGGGAGACAGUGUCAGGCGGGCAGUUUGACUGGGGCGGUCGCCUCCUAAAAGGUAACGGAGGCGCUCAAAGGUUCCCUCAGAAUGGUUGGAAAUCAUUCAUAGAGUGUAAAGGCAUAAGGGAGCUUGACUGCGAGACCUACAAGUCGAGCAGGGUCGAAAGACGGACUUAGUGAUCCGGUGGUUCCGCAUGGAAGGGCCAUCGCUCAACGGAUAAAAGCUACCCCGGGGAUAACAGGCUUAUCUCCCCCAAGAGUUCACAUCGACGGGGAGGUUUGGCACCUCGAUGUCGGCUCAUCGCAUCCUGGGGCUGUAGUCGGUCCCAAGGGUUGGGCUGUUCGCCCAUUAAAGCGGUACGCGAGCUGGGUUCAGAACGUCGUGAGACAGUUCGGUCCCUAUCCGUCGUGGGCGUAGGAAAUUUGAGAGGAGCUGUCCUUAGUACGAGAGGACCGGGAUGGACAUACCUCUGGUGUACCAGUUGUCGUGCCAACGGCAUAGCUGGGUAGCUAUGUGUGGACGGGAUAAGUGCUGAAAGCAUCUAAGCAUGAAGCCCCCCUCAAGAUGAGAUUUCCCAACUUCGGUUAUAAGAUCCCUCAAAGAUGAUGAGGUUAAUAGGUUCGAGGUGGAAGCAUGGUGACAUGUGGAGCUGACGAAUACUAAUCGAUCGAAGACUUAAUCAA